UUUCGUUCUUCCUGACUGCCAGAGGCAGUGUUUAACACUGGAUGUUAUCCAUCUCGCGCACGCGCAGGUCGAGUAUUUAAUAUCAACAAAGUCACAUGUGACCUGGGAUGACGUAGUUUAUAUAAGCCCACGUCAUCAUCAGAGAUGUCCCCUUGAAUCUUCUCGCGGCAGGUAAUCCGCGAAUGCAGGUUGAUUAAAGAGAUAAGCCGUUGACUUUUCGCUGGAAGCCCUGCAACCGCAUGGUUGGAGCUACGGUUUCGUCCUCCAAGGGCUGCGAUUAGUUAAUCACGGCUACACUCUAACACUUUAGACGCUGUAACACCGGUGUUUUCGCCGGUUCAAUUCAGCGAGGCUAACGACAGGUGAGCUAGGAUAACAAGGUGAUUGUGGUGGUGACCGAUGCUUCGCCCUCCGGCUGGGGGGC
Sebastes umbrosus (honeycomb rockfish) is the source of this 424-nucleotide long non-coding RNA. RefSeq lists it as uncharacterized. The record is from RefSeq and is a predicted model, not a curated record. The transcript has 3 exons. NCBI's taxonomy places the organism in Eukaryota, Metazoa, Chordata, Actinopteri, Perciformes, Sebastidae.